CAUACCACCCUGAACGUGACUGAUCUUUUCUGGUCUCAGAAGCUAAGCAGGUCAGACCUGGUUAGUACUUGGAUGGGGGACCACCUGGGAAUACCAGGUUAAAAAAAAA
This 109-nucleotide ribosomal RNA is filed under the name Prolemur simus (greater bamboo lemur). Lineage: Eukaryota; Metazoa; Chordata; Mammalia; Primates; Lemuridae. The record is from RNAcentral.